AUCCAAAGCAUCAAACUCCUUUCUCAUGGCAUCCUGCCAUACUGGAACUGAUGCAGCUUGAGAGUAGUAAAGGGGUUCAGUCUCCAGAGGAGAAGAAAAAGACCCAGAAAAAGCAGGAAGGUGGCAAAUAUAAUUCUUAAGGUAAGAAGGAGGAUUGUGCUGUCUGCCAGAUUUCCUGGGAACAGCAGUUGAUGUGGAAGAAGGUAAAGCAAGAGGGGAGAUGUCAGGGUUGAAAGGAGGACUGCAAUUGGAUUUGAAGAAGGAGAAUCUGGAACACGAGGUGGAGGUGGAGAGGAAGAGAUUGGAACAGAGAAGUCUUGGUCAGAAGAGGAAUGUUCAAGAGAAGGAAUAAUAUGAAAAGAGGAAGGAAAAGCAGGAGGAACAGAAGUGACAGAAGAGGUAGAUUUGAAAGGAAAGGUUGAAAGGAGGACUAGAAAUUGGAUUUGAAGAAGGAGAAGCUGGAACAGGAGGUGCAGGUGGAGAGGAAGAGAUUGGAACAGAGAAGUCUUGUUCAGAAGGGGAAUGCUCAAGAGGAGGAAUAGAAUGAAAAGAUGAAGGAAAAACAGGAGGAACAGAGGUGACAGAAGAGGCAGAUUUGAAAGGAAAAGAAGUUUCA
This 616-nucleotide long non-coding RNA is filed under the name Nicotiana benthamiana. RNAcentral describes it as "long non-coding RNA (NBEN_LNC018083)". Lineage: Eukaryota; Viridiplantae; Streptophyta; Magnoliopsida; Solanales; Solanaceae. The record is from RNAcentral.